This is a long non-coding RNA of Hippocampus zosterae (dwarf seahorse), 1169 nucleotides long. RefSeq lists it as uncharacterized. The transcript has 4 exons. Lineage: Eukaryota; Metazoa; Chordata; Actinopteri; Syngnathiformes; Syngnathidae. The record is from RefSeq and is a predicted model, not a curated record.
CCGUUUGGCCGGCUGACGGAACAAUUUCACGGUGUGUGAUUUUUAUUGAUUUUUUCACAUUUUCAGUUCAAAGGAGCAGGGCUAGUGUCAAUUUGUGUUACGUGCCAGAGGAAUCGGUAACUUUUAAGCACAACGAUGUCAAAAGCUGAAACUAAAUGUACAGGGUCUCAAUCAUGUCAAGGUAUUUUUUGAUACUCCUGCUGUUGUUCCCAUGGCGACCUCACCCAUCCCACUUUUGUGGUAUGUGGCAGCAUUUCUCAAACGUUUACAGACAAAAGACAAAACAAUUCCCAAAACAAUAGACCGACUUCCUUCCACAUUCCAAAAAACACGCACGUUUAUUGACGGAUCGAAAUCGUUCACAGGUGGGAAUGUGAAGCGCGGCUGGCCGUGCGUCACUAAAUGCCCUGCGAUCAGCCAAGGUCGAGAGGUGAGCUGGGAUAGCUCGCCUGACACCCCUAUGAGGCCAAGUGCUCUUGAAAAUGAUGUUGGGGAAUUAUUCCCAGCAUACAAUUGGAUUUGGCUUGGAUACGCCCACUUAAACCCAGAUGACCAAAUAAGGAGGCGAGGAGGCUGGAAGAGGAAUGAACAGACACGGAACGCUCCUUGGUCAUCAUUUGCUGACAAAUGGCUGUCCCGGCUGGUCCACCCAUUUUACACAUACCACCAGCGAAGGGGGCGUGCGGUUGCCACGGUGAAGGCUAUUUUAUUAGCAUUGUGCAUUAUGGAGUUUGAUAUUUUUGUUCUCAUGCUAUAAUCUUCGUGGUUAAUAUGUUCAAUUUGCACUUCAAUGCAUUUUUUGAGGUUGUCCGUUAUUUGUCGGCAGUGUUUCCUAGUCCAGAAAGUUGUGGGAGUCCUUUUUGGGGGAGUUAAUUACAGAAAUUCUCAAUCUUCUUGCCUCAUGCUUUCAACUUUUUUUAUGUUUAGUGCACUGUGAGUGAGCACUUCCUAAAAAGCUGACACAUCCCUCAUGGAGGAGUGAGUUCCAUAAGUGGAUGUAUAAUUUCGUCAAAUAUGCAAAAAAUGUCCCGCAAUACACACAAUCACCGCUAUUACAUCAUGAAAAAUGCCAAACAAUUUUUUUGUGAAUGAAGAUUUUUUUUUUUUUACAAAAAAGAUCAAAAUUGUGAAAUAUUUGUCCCAACAGCAAUAACAGCAUUGUGAUGCAU